Molecule: ribosomal RNA, 252 nt
Filed under: uncultured Lactobacillus sp.
Lineage: Bacteria; Bacillati; Bacillota; Bacilli; Lactobacillales; Lactobacillaceae
Description: partial 16S ribosomal RNA
Rfam family: Bacterial small subunit ribosomal RNA
Source: RNAcentral
UAACACGUGGGGAACCUGCCCCAUAGUCUGGGAUACCACUUGGAAACAGGUGCUAAUACCGGAUAAGAAAGCGGAUCGCAUGAUCAGCUUUUAAAAGGCGGCGUAAGCUGUCGCUAUGGGAUGGCCCCGCGGUGCAUUAGCUAGUUGGUAAGGUAAAGGCUUACCAAGGCGAUGAUUCAUAGCCGAGUUGAGAGACUGAUCGGCCACAUUGGGACUGAGACACGGCCCAAACUCCUACGGGAGGCAGCAGCA